RNAcentral lists this ribosomal RNA (258 nucleotides) under uncultured bacterium. Its description in RNAcentral is "partial 16S ribosomal RNA". It matches the Rfam family "Bacterial small subunit ribosomal RNA", at positions 99 to 353 of the family's 1533-position model. The record is from RNAcentral.
CGAACGGGUGAGUAACGCGUGAGGAACCUGCCUCAAAGAGGGGGACAACAGUUGGAAAUGACUGCUAAUACCGCAUAAGCCCACGGGUCGGCAUCGACCAGAGGGAAAAGGAGCAAUCCGCUUUGAGAUGGCCUCGCGUCCGAUUAGCUAGUUGGUGAGGUAAUGGCCCACCAAGGCAACGAUCGGUAGCCGGACUGAGAGGUUGAACGGCCACAUUGGGACUGAGACACGGCCCAGACUCCUACGGGAGGCAGCAUG